AGAAUCAACGCUGGCGGCGUGCCUAACACAUGCAAGUCGAACGAGAAAGUGGAGCAAUCCAUGAGUAAAGUGGCGCACGGGUGAGUAACACGUGACUAACCUACCCUUGAGUGGGGGAUAACCUAGGGAAACCUGGGCUAAUACCGCAUAAUACCUUCGGGUCAAAGGAGCAAUUCGCUUAAGGAGGGGGUCGCGGCCGAUUAGUUAGUUGGCGGGGUAAUGGCCCACCAAGACGAUGAUCGGUAUCCGGCCUGAGAGGGCGCACGGACACACUGGAACUGAAACACGGUCCAGACUCCUACGGGAGGCAGCAGUGGGGAAUUUGCGCAAUGGGGGAAACCCUGACGCAGCAACGCCGCGUGGAGGAUGAAGCCCCUUGGGGCGUAAACUCCUUUCGAUCGGGACGAUUAUGACGGUACCGGAAGAAGAAGCCCCGGCUAACUUCGCGCCAGCAGCCGC
RNAcentral lists this ribosomal RNA (459 nucleotides) under uncultured bacterium. RNAcentral describes it as "SSU rRNA". It matches the Rfam family "Bacterial small subunit ribosomal RNA", at positions 26 to 518 of the family's 1533-position model. The record is from RNAcentral.